This 535-nucleotide ribosomal RNA is filed under the name Kocuria palustris. Its description in RNAcentral is "bacterial SSU rRNA". It matches the Rfam family "Bacterial small subunit ribosomal RNA", at positions 56 to 600 of the family's 1533-position model. The record is from RNAcentral. Lineage: Bacteria; Bacillati; Actinomycetota; Actinomycetes; Micrococcales; Micrococcaceae.
UGCAAGUCGAACGCUGAAGCACCAGCUUGCUGGUGUGGAUGAGUGGCGAACGGGUGAGUAAUACGUGAGUAACCUGCCCUUGACUCUGGGAUAAGCCCGGGAAACUGGGUCUAAUACUGGAUGCUACAUGUCACCGCAUGGUGGCGUGUGGAAAGGGUUUACUGGUCUUGGAUGGGCUCACGGCCUAUCAGCUUGUUGGUGAGGUAAUGGCUCACCAAGGCGACGACGGGUAGCCGGCCUGAGAGGGUGACCGGCCACACUGGGACUGAGACACGGCCCAGACUCCUACGGGAGGCAGCAGUGGGGAAUAUUGCACAAUGGGCGAAAGCCUGAUGCAGCGACGCCGCGUGAGGGAUGACGGCCUUCGGGUUGUAAACCUCUUUCAGCAGGGAAGAAGCCACAAGUGACGGUACCUGCAGAAGAAGCGCCGGCUAACUACGUGCCAGCAGCCGCGGUAAUACGUAGGGCGCAAGCGUUGUCCGGAAUUAUUGGGCGUAAAGAGCUCGUAGGCGGUUUGUCGCGUCUGCUGUGAAAG